GGGGGGGGGCUAUAAUGCAGUCGAGCGCGGGAAGCGAGUGGAUCCCUUCGGGGUGAAGCUCGUGGAACGAGCGGCGGACGGGUGAGUAACACGUGGGCAACCUGCCUGUAAGAUCGGAAUAACCCCGGGAAACCGGGGCUAAUGCCGGGUAAUACUUUCUUUCGCAUGAAGGAAAGUUGAAAGAUGGCUUCUCGCUAUCACUUACAGAUGGGCCCGCGGCGCAUUAGCUAGUUGGUGAGGUAACGGCUCACCAAGGCGACGAUGCGUAGCCGACCUGAGAGGGUGAUCGGCCACACUGGGACUGAGACACGGCCCAGACUCCUACGGGAGGCAGCAGUAGGGAAUCUUCCGCAAUGGACGAAAGUCUGACGGAGCAACGCCGCGUGAACGAUGAAGGUCUUCGGAUCGUAAAGUUCUGUUGUUAGGGAAGAACAAGUACCGUGCGAAUAGAGCGGUACCUUGACGGUACCUAACGAGGAAGCCCCGGCUAACUACGUGCCAGCAGCCGCGGUAAUACGUAGGGGGCAAGCGUUGUCCGGAAUUAUUGGGCGUAAAGCGCGCGCAGGCGGUUCCUUAAGUCUGAUGUGAAAGCCCACGGCUCAACCGUGGAGGGUCAUUGGAAACUGGGGAACUUGAGGACAGAAGAGGAGAGUGGAAUUCCACGUGUAGCGGUGAAAUGCGUAGAUAUGUGGAGGAACACCAGUGGCGAAGGCGACUCUCUGGUCUGUUUCUGACGCUGAGGUGCGAAAGCGUGGGUAGCAAACAGGAUUAGAUACCCUGGUAGUCCACGCCGUAAACGA
Molecule: ribosomal RNA, 800 nt
Filed under: Halobacillus sp. JSM 101001
Lineage: Bacteria; Bacillati; Bacillota; Bacilli; Caryophanales; Bacillaceae
Description: bacterial SSU rRNA
Rfam family: Bacterial small subunit ribosomal RNA
Source: RNAcentral